Molecule: small nuclear RNA, 301 nt
Filed under: Meriones unguiculatus (Mongolian gerbil)
Lineage: Eukaryota; Metazoa; Chordata; Mammalia; Rodentia; Muridae
Description: 7SK RNA (ENSMUGG00000015672.1)
Rfam family: 7SK RNA
About the family: 7SK was discovered as an abundant small nuclear RNA in the mid-70s but a possible function has only recently been suggested. Two independent studies have found that 7SK RNA binds the CDK9/cyclin T complex (known as elongation factor P-TEFb).
Source: RNAcentral
GGAUGUGAAGGUAAUGUGGUUGCGACAUCUGUCACUGCAUUGAUCGCUAGGGUUGAUUCAGCUGACCUGACUAGCUAGGCAGGGGUCCCCUUCCUCUCUCACUGUCCCAUGUGCAUCCCUCCCAAAACUGUGUGCUCGGUGGAAGAGGACGACCUUCCCCGAAUAGAGGAGGACUGGUCUUCAUUUAAGGGUAUACCAGUAGCUGCUCUCUCCUGCUAGAACCUCCAAACAAGCUCAAGAAAGACAGGCAAAUAUAGCCAAACAAAUAAAGGCACCAGUAGAGGCAUAAUUAGUGGCAUAU